Megalobrama amblycephala (Wuchang bream) is the source of this 641-nucleotide long non-coding RNA. RefSeq lists it as uncharacterized. The transcript is spliced from 4 exons. Lineage: Eukaryota; Metazoa; Chordata; Actinopteri; Cypriniformes; Xenocyprididae. The record is from RefSeq and is a predicted model, not a curated record.
CAGGAAAGAAACAAAGCGAAGGAUGUCAGCAGUGUAGUUCACCUUGCCUACGAGCUUCCCCCUGCGGUUCAUACACAGGUUAACUCACCUGUAGAGGAUUACACAUGACCAGCAUCAUCUGGAUAUACCUGAGGAGCCAGAGAGAGAGAGCAAUCAAGGUCAGGUAGAGACUUCAAAACAAACAUGCAGCCCAGUGGACUGACGCUGAGCUAAACAUUGCCUCUCCAUGCAGCGCUGCAGUUGGCACAAGUCUACAUGAUGCUGGUCAACACCUGCUCAACAGAAGAGAGAAUGAAAGACUCCCCCACACUGCCUCAGCUAUGAAGAGAUAUGAGAGAGAAGAAGGAAGCGUCUCACCAGCUGACAGCUGCAAUGAAACAGACACACACAUGUACACGCUCUCUCCAUCAUGCCUGUCAACACACACUUAAUGUACACAUGUACUCAUAAGCUACCCUUAUAUCCAAUCAUAAUGCUUGACAAACCCACACAAUUAAAGGAAUGGAAGUUAAUGGAAUAGAUCACCCAAAACUUUGCCAUUUUUAUUGGUGGUAGAAACAAUUUUCACUCAAAAAUUAUUUGUAAAUUUCACAAAUAAUUACAAAGAAAGGGCAAGUAACGCAUUAAAUUAAAUGUGAAAU